GAGGGGCAGCAUGGUCUUAGCUUGCUAAGGCCGAUGGCGACCGGCGCACGGGUGAGUAACACGUAUCCAACCUGCCGUCUACUCUUGGACAGCCUUCUGAAAGGAAGAUUAAUACAAGAUGGCAUCAUGAGUCCACAUGUUCACAUGAUUAAAGGUAUUCCGGUAGACGAUGGGGAUGCGUUCCAUUAGAUAGUAGGCGGGGUAACGGCCCACCUAGUCUUCGAUGGAUAGGGGUUCUGAGAGGAAGGUCCCCCACAUUGGAACUGAGACACGGUCCAAACUCCUACGGGAGGCAGCAGUGAGGAAUAUUGGUCAAUGGGCGAGAGCCUGAACCAGCCAAGUAGCGUGAAGGAUGACUGCCCUAUGGGUUGUAAACUUCUUUUAUAAAGGAAUAAGGUCGGGUAUGUAUACCCGUUUGCAUGUACUUUAUGAAUAAGGAUCGGCUAACUCCGUGCCAGCAGCCGCGGUAAUACGGAGGAUCCGAGCGUUAUCCGGAUUUAUUGGGUUUAAAGGGAGCGUAGAUGGAUGUUUAAGUCAGUUGUGAAAGUUUGCGGCUCAACCGUAAAAUUGCAGUUGAUACUGGAUAUCUUGAGUGCAGUUGAGGCAGGCGGAAUUCGUGGUGUAGCGGUGAAAUGCUUAGAUAUCACGAAG
RNAcentral lists this ribosomal RNA (651 nucleotides) under uncultured Bacteroidales bacterium. RNAcentral describes it as "bacterial SSU rRNA". It matches the Rfam family "Bacterial small subunit ribosomal RNA", at positions 64 to 704 of the family's 1533-position model. Lineage: Bacteria; Pseudomonadati; Bacteroidota; Bacteroidia; Bacteroidales. The record is from RNAcentral.